ACAGGCUUAACACAUGCAAGUCGAGGGGCAGCACAGGUAGCAAUACCGGGUGGCGACCGGCGCACGGGUGAGUAACGCGUAUGCAACUUGCCUAUCAGAGGGGGAUAACCCGGCGAAAGUCGGACUAAUACCGCAUGAAGCAGGGGCCCCGCAUGGGGAUAUUUGCUAAAGAUUCAUCGCUGAUAGAUAGGCAUGCGUUCCAUUAGGCAGUUGGCGGGGUAACGGCCCACCAAACCGACGAUGGAUAGGGGUUCUGAGAGGAAGGUCCCCCACAUUGGUACUGAGACACGGACCAAACUCCUACGGGAGGCAGCAGUGAGGAAUAUUGGUCAAUGGGCGCGAGCCUGAACCAGCCAAGUCGCGUGAGGGAUGAAGGUUCUAUGGAUCGUAAACCUCUUUUAUAAGGGAAUAAAGUGCGGGACGUGUCCCGUUUUGUAUGUAUCUUAUGAAUAAGGAUCGGCUAACUCCGUGCCAGCAGCCGCGGUAAUACGGAGGAUCCGAGCGUUAUCCGGAUUUAUUGGGUUUAAAGGGUGCGUAGGCGGCCUUUUAAGUCAGCGGUGAAAGUCUGUGGCUCAACCAUAGAAUUGCCGUUGAAACUGGGGGGCUUGAGUAUGUUUGAGGCAGGCGGAAUGCGUGGUGUAGCGGUGAAAUGCAUAGAUAUCACGCAGAACCCCGAUUGCGAAGGCAGCCUGCCAAGCCAUUACUGACGCUGAUGCACGAAAGCGUGGGGAUCAAACAGGAUUAGAUACCCUGGUAGUCCACGCAGUAAACGAUGAUCACUAGCUGUUUGCGAUACACUGUAAGCGGCACAGCGAAAGCGUUAAGUGAUCCACCUGGGGAGUACGCCGGCAACGGUGAAACUCAAAGGAAUUGACGGGGGCCCGCACAAGCGGAGGAACAUGUGGUUUAAUUCGAUGAUACGCGAGGAACCUUACCCGGGUUUGAACGCAUUCGGACCGAGGUGGAAACACCUUUUCUAGCAAUAGCCGUUUGCGAGGUGCUGCAUGGUUGUCGUCAGCUCGUGCCGUGAGGUGUCGGCUUAAGUGCCAUAACGAGCGCAACCCUUGCCACUAGUUACUAACAGGUAAAGCUGAGGACUCUGGUGGGACUGCCAGCGUAAGCUGCGAGGAAGGCGGGGAUGACGUCAAAUCAGCACGGCCCUUACAUCCGGGGCGACACACGUGUUACAAUGGCGUGGACAAAGGGAAGCCACCUGGCGACAGGGAGCGAAUCCCCAAACCACGUCUCAGUUCGGAUCGGAGUCUGCAACCCGACUCCGUGAAGCUGGAUUCGCUAGUAAUCGCGCAUCAGCCAUGGCGCGGUGAAUACGUUCCCGGGCCUUGUACACACCGCCCGUCAAGCCAUGGGAGCCGGGGGUACCUGAAGUCCGUAACCGCGAGGAUCGGCCUAGGGUAAAACUGGUGACUGGGGCUAAGUCAUAACA
Molecule: ribosomal RNA, 1444 nt
Filed under: uncultured organism
Description: SSU rRNA
Rfam family: Bacterial small subunit ribosomal RNA
Source: RNAcentral